AUGCCUAGGCAAAAUGUGAGUCCCAUGAGCCUGCAGGGCCUCCCCAGCUGGCAGCUGCCCUCCUCUCAGCACACCUGGGCCAGGAGUGCACCCCCUUGCACUGCAGGACAGCCAUUGCUCUGGGUCUCUGGGCCCACUUCUCGGUCUCCCUCAUCUCACUGUGACAGCAUCUCCCAGGCUGCUGGGAGGGGUCUAUUAAGCGGAAGUGUUAGGAUGGAUGUAUGGGAUGUCACCCACCCAGGCAGCACGGUUUUCUCCCCUCUGAUCAGACAGACAGGGAGCUUCCAACAGGAGGUCACUUUAACCUAUUGGUUCUCUGGAGGACUUUUGUGCAGUGGCAUAUCAGGAUUUUUUCUUGCAGCACCAGACACGGUGAGCCUCGAGACCCCACUGCCCCUGGAAGGAGCAGAAAUAGUGGCCACGUUUGAGCAGAUGCACUGGAGGGUCUAUGAGGGGAUCCCCCCACAUGUAAGAGGAGAGACAUGGUCUCUGCUGUUGGAGAAGGUGAAGGCAGACAAUCAAGGGAAAUACCAGGUAUGGCUUCUCCAUCUGUGCCUCUGGGAACCCUCCCCUGUCCCCAGCUUUCCUAGUUCCUCCCAGGCUCACCUGCCCAGAAAGCCAUGCCAUGCCCACCUCCUUGCUCCCUGUAGCCUUGGCCCAGUGCAGACACUGGGUCCAGAGUUGCACAGGUGCCACCUGACAUUACAAUUAGACCUCCCAGAUACCUGAGGGGGACUGAGUCACACAGCAAGGGACAGAAACCAACAGGACAGAGGAAGGAGACCCCCACAGAAACCACAGAAGAUGACCAGGCCAGAUGAACACAGGUCUGACAGAAAUGAGACAAGAAACUGGUCUCAACCCAUUGAUCCAGAGAGAUCCCUGUCCCUGCCUAGUUCCCGCCACUCAGCCCCAUCACCAAGGUGGGUAGCCCAGGUCCCGCUGCCCAGGAAGUGUGCUCUAUGCACCCAGGCUGAACUGCAUCAGCAGGGUAAGUGUAGAUGGAGUGAGAGUGGCAGGGACAGUGGCCAUGGUUGUCCAAGUGGCAUGAGGAUGCAUGGACCAAGAGGCCCAGAGCGUGAUGCACACACACUGACACUGGGCCAAAAGUGCCAGCCUCACACUUGGUCUGCAAGCUCUCAAAAGGGCCUGAAAACCAGGCAUGGGCUCCCCUUCUGGCCCUCUGCCUCACAUAGCUUAUGUGUGGUGGGACUCGGAGGGCUCAAGGGACAGAGGCCCAGUCACCCUCCCAGCCUCCCACUGCCCUGGGACACCCACACCUGGGAGUAGCAUCCCAGGGGACAAGCCCAGGCCAGAAGCGGUGGCACUGUCAUC
Molecule: long non-coding RNA, 1335 nt
Filed under: Sus scrofa (pig)
Lineage: Eukaryota; Metazoa; Chordata; Mammalia; Artiodactyla; Suidae
Description: lncRNA (ENSSSCG00050014738.1)
Source: RNAcentral